Molecule: ribosomal RNA, 254 nt
Filed under: uncultured bacterium
Lineage: Bacteria
Description: partial 16S ribosomal RNA
Rfam family: Bacterial small subunit ribosomal RNA
Source: RNAcentral
UACGUAGGGUGCAAGCGUUGUCCGGAAUUAUUGGGCGUAAAGAGCUCGUAGGCGGUCUGUCGCGUCGGCUGUGAAAACUCGGGGCUCAACUCCGAGCUUGCAGUCGAUACGGGCAGGCUAGAGUUCGGCAGGGGAGACUGGAAUUCCUGGUGUAGCGGUGAAAUGCGCAGAUAUCGGGAAGAACACCCGUGGCGAAGGCGGUUCUCUGGGACGGUACUGGACGCUGAGACGCGAAAGCGUGGGGAGCGAACAGG